UUAGGGUUAAAAACUCUAUCUCGCAGAUUGGAAUCGACCAUGGCAGGUGGAGGAGGGGGUUUUAUGCACAGAGUUCUUACUUACUUGAUUAAUGAAUUAGUUGUUAACAGUCUUGCUAACAGCCGUGGUUUUCAAAGAUGGGCUGUUAGGACUAACAAACGAAUAGAAGAUGCUGCUUUAUUUGCUGCAAGGAGGAAACAAAACUUUAAGAAUUUCAAGGAAUUUUUCCAGUCCUCGAAAGACCAGUGAAGCUGUCUUUGUUAAAUAAAAAUAUGUCCAGUUCUGAAUAUUAUCAGCUUUACGUUUUCGGUGUACAUGUCCAGCAAUCAUAUGUUACCAAUUACCCUUUUUGUGGUCAGUUCAGGAUUUCAAAUGUGACUUAUUUCAAGACUUUGAACAGA
Molecule: long non-coding RNA, 401 nt
Organism: Papaver somniferum (opium poppy)
Lineage: Eukaryota; Viridiplantae; Streptophyta; Magnoliopsida; Ranunculales; Papaveraceae
Exons: 4
Source: RefSeq, a predicted model, not a curated record